Molecule: ribosomal RNA, 527 nt
Filed under: Trichoderma strictipile
Lineage: Eukaryota; Fungi; Ascomycota; Sordariomycetes; Hypocreales; Hypocreaceae
Description: partial small subunit ribosomal RNA
Source: RNAcentral
CACAUUACUCUUGAGGUGAAAUGCUUACACUUUCAUUUAUAGACCAAAUAAUGUUUAAUAUUUAAUUUACAAUUAUAAUACUAAAUCUUAAUCUAACCUAUGGCAUUCAUCAUUUACUGCAAAGACUACUUGGGUAUCUAAUCCUGUUUGUGCUCUGUGCCUUCGUCCUUUAACGUCAGUUUUUACAUAGAGGGCUGCCUUCGCCUUUACCGAGUCCCUUUGGUAUCAUAGAAUUUCAUCUCUCCUCCUCAAGUACUGCCCUCUUACAUAAAACUCUAGUCAAGUACUAACAUUAUAGAAGCUAUAUUGACCGUCUAGGUACCCUUUAAACCUAAUUAAGAUGAAUAACACUAGUCUCUUACGUAUUACCGCGACUGCUGGCACGCAAUUAGUCAAGACACAAUAUAUAUMCUGUCAUUAUCAAUAUAUAAACAAAGCUUUAUUCAAUUUUAAUACAAUCCUAUAGAUUAUAUUCAAAGAUAUAAUCAAAAUAGGACUUGCCACUUCUCCAAGUUGCCAGUUCAGCC